This 1440-nucleotide ribosomal RNA is filed under the name Mycobacterium intracellulare. Its description in RNAcentral is "16S ribosomal RNA". It matches the Rfam family "Bacterial small subunit ribosomal RNA". The record is from RNAcentral. Lineage: Bacteria; Bacillati; Actinomycetota; Actinomycetes; Mycobacteriales; Mycobacteriaceae.
ACAUGCAAGUCGAACGGAAAGGCCCCUUCGGGGGUACUCGAGUGGCGAACGGGUGAGUAACACGUGGGCAAUCUGCCCUGCACUUCGGGAUAAGCCUGGGAAACUGGGUCUAAUACCGGAUAGGACCUUUAGGCGCAUGUCUUUAGGUGGAAAGCUUUUGCGGUGUGGGAUGGGCCCGCGGCCUAUCAGCUUGUUGGUGGGGUGAUGGCCUACCAAGGCGACGACGGGUAGCCGGCCUGAGAGGGUGUCCGGCCACACUGGGACUGAGAUACGGCCCAGACUCCUACGGGAGGCAGCAGUGGGGAAUAUUGCACAAUGGGCGCAAGCCUGAUGCAGCGACGCCGCGUGGGGGAUGACGGCCUUCGGGUUGUAAACCUCUUUCACCAUCGACGAAGGUCCGGGUUUUCUCGGAUUGACGGUAGGUGGAGAAGAAGCACCGGCCAACUACGUGCCAGCAGCCGCGGUAAUACGUAGGGUGCGAGCGUUGUCCGGAAUUACUGGGCGUAAAGAGCUCGUAGGUGGUUUGUCGCGUUGUUCGUGAAAUCUCACGGCUUAACUGUGAGCGUGCGGGCGAUACGGGCAGACUAGAGUACUGCAGGGGAGACUGGAAUUCCUGGUGUAGCGGUGGAAUGCGCAGAUAUCAGGAGGAACACCGGUGGCGAAGGCGGGUCUCUGGGCAGUAACUGACGCUGAGGAGCGAAAGNGUGGGGAGCGAACAGGAUUAGAUACCCUGGUAGUCCACGCCGUAAACGGUGGGUACUAGGUGUGGGUUUCCUUCCUUGGGAUCCGUGCCGUAGCUAACGCAUUAAGUACCCCGCCUGGGGAGUACGGCCGCAAGGCUAAAACUCAAAGGAAUUGACGGGGGCCCGCACAAGCGGCGGAGCAUGUGGAUUAAUUCGAUGCAACGCGAAGAACCUUACCUGGGUUUGACAUGCACAGGACGCGUCUAGAGAUAGGCGUUCCCUUGUGGCCUGUGUGCAGGUGGUGCAUGGCUGUCGUCAGCUCGUGUCGUGAGAUGUUGGGUUAAGUCCCGCAACGAGCGCAACCCUUGUCUCAUGUUGCCAGCGGGUAAUGCCGGGGACUCGUGAGAGACUGCCGGGGUCAACUCGGAGGAAGGUGGGGAUGACGUCAAGUCAUCAUGCCCCUUAUGUCCAGGGCUUCACACAUGCUACAAUGGCCGGUACAAAGGGCUGCGAUGCCGCAAGGUUAAGCGAAUCCUUUUAAAGCCGGUCUCAGUUCGGAUUGGGGUCUGCAACUCGACCCCAUGAAGUCGGAGUCGCUAGUAAUCGCAGAUCAGCAACGCUGCGGUGAAUACGUUCCCGGGCCUUGUACACACCGCCCGUCACGUCAUGAAAGUCGGUAACACCCGAAGCCAGUGGCCUAACCCUUGGGAGGGAGCUGUCGAAGGUGGGAUCGGCGAUUGGGACGAAGUCGUAACAA